AGCUCAGUUGGUAGAGCAGAGGACUGAAAAUCCUCGUGUCGUUGGUUCGAUUCCGACC
This 58-nucleotide transfer RNA is filed under the name Clostridia bacterium. RNAcentral describes it as "tRNA-Phe". It matches the Rfam family "tRNA", at positions 9 to 63 of the family's 71-position model. Rfam says of the family: Transfer RNA (tRNA) molecules are approximately 80 nucleotides in length. Their secondary structure includes four short double-helical elements and three loops (D, anti-codon, and T loops). The record is from RNAcentral. Lineage: Bacteria; Bacillati; Bacillota; Clostridia.